AUGAAUAACCUCUAAAGGAAGUUACUUCACAUAAUGACAGCAAUUUCUCUGAACUAAAUGUUAAUAAUAAGGCCUGUAAUACUAUGAGAAGGAAAUGGUGGCAAUUGGCAAAUGGAACUCUGUUGCUUGGUAACAAGACCUGAGGUAUGAACAUUCUCUACCUCACGGGAAAAGGGUGGGUGGAAAGAUUGCAGCUCCAGCCUGCACGUUUGAGAGGCGGGCAGCUUUAUGAAGACACCCGCUGUCCAGAGGUUGAUCCUGAACAGAGUUCCCAUUCCAGUUCCUUCCCACUCCAAAGGACAGAUGGUGAUGGAGUGGCCUGGUGAUUUACUUGAAAUGAGUUGGUCCCAUGAGCUACAACUAGGAUACUGAAGAUACAGGAGAUCGAUGACGAAGGCCCAGGCAAUUGGAGUAAAGCCCGCUGGCUCUAGCAAUUGGUCCAAGAGUGAGCACCUGUUGAAAGAUGAGCCUUUCUUUUCCAGAGAUUCCCCAAACUGAAGGAUAUUCAUCAACAACUGGGAUCGUCAAGUACUGCUGCCGGACCAGAGCACCACUCAACAACAGCACUGAAAGGAAAGGAUAGAAAGGAACCGAAAGCCACCUGUCGGUGCACAUCUGGGGAGACCUACAGGCAAGACUGAGCCCAUUCAGGUCAUUAUCAGAUCAAACAGAACACCAGCAAAAUAGCAGCAUGACAGUCCAACUGUAUACUUUUUUGUCUAGCUGUGGACCAGUUUUAUCAGCCAUUUAUCUGAUGGUUAUUCGCAAGCCCUACUAUCCUUACCAACAGUGAAGAUGACAUUAUUAGCUUCCUAAUGUAUUAGUAACAAAUGUUUUUUGUGUGGGUCAUUGUGCUAAAUGUUCUACAUAUAUUAUAUCCUUUAAGUUUCCAAUAAGACAGACACUGCUAUACUCAUUUUACAAGGACUCUUAGUGGCACACCCCACAUAAUGGAAACCACCUGAAGUAAGCUGAGUGAGUCUCAUGGGAACAGCCCCUGAUUCAUGUCAAUCUUCCUGCCAAGUUCACUGAACAUAGAUCCCAUGUGACAGAUAUUUCCAUCAAGAAUCCAGAAUCCUAUUGGAAACUGAAACUGAUAAAAUUUAGAAAUUGUUCUCUGUUAUCCGUAUCUUUGGAAGGGACAGUUAAAAAUUACUCAACCACAAAAAUGUACCCCAUGUGGUGAAGGUGCUAUUUUCAUCAUGAUUUAAAGGCCCGUCCUGCUCUAACCCCUCAAUGGGGACCUGAGCAUCCCGCUAAAGGUGAAUGGAGGUCAAAAGAAACUGAAUUAAACACAGAACUAGGCCCAAACUAUUGAGGCCAUUCACACACUUUGAAAAAGGACCUAAGACCGCUAUUUUGUGGGUCUGAAUGAAUGCCCACUGACCUCCCAGUUUCUGUUGUUUCUCCUACACUGAAAUACAUCAACAUUCACACACAUUUGCCAUGCAUCUGAACAGCACUCGGCAUUUUGGAAGUGUGGUCCAUUUCCUAUUCUGGCAUAUUAAGUCAGUCUUCGUGUUUCUCUGUACAUGUGGCAUGCCGUC
Molecule: long non-coding RNA, 1547 nt
Organism: Equus caballus (horse)
Lineage: Eukaryota; Metazoa; Chordata; Mammalia; Perissodactyla; Equidae
Source: Ensembl